RNAcentral lists this ribosomal RNA (751 nucleotides) under uncultured Oscillospiraceae bacterium. RNAcentral's name for it is "bacterial SSU rRNA". It matches the Rfam family "Bacterial small subunit ribosomal RNA", at positions 28 to 776 of the family's 1533-position model. The record is from RNAcentral. Lineage: Bacteria; Bacillati; Bacillota; Clostridia; Eubacteriales; Oscillospiraceae.
GACGAACGCUGGCGGCGCGCCUAACACAUGCAAGUCGAACGGGGCUACCUUUUCGGAAGUUUUCGGAUGGAAGAGGAAGUAGCUUAGUGGCGAACGGGUGAGUAACACGUGAGGAACCUGCCUUAAAGAGGGGGACAACAGUUGGAAACGACUGCUAAUACCGCAUAAGCCCACGGUGCCGCAUGGCACAGGGGGAAAAGGAGAAAUCCGCUUUAAGAUGGACUCGCGUCCAAUUAGCUAGAUGGUGAGGUAAAGGCUCACCAUGGCGACGAUUGGUAGCCGGACUGAGAGGUUGAACGGCCACAUUGGGACUGAGACACGGCCCAGACUCCUACGGGAGGCAGCAGUGGGGAAUAUUGCACAAUGGGGGAAACCCUGAUGCAGCGACGCCGCGUGGAGGAAGAAGGUUUUCGGAUUGUAAACUCCUGUCUUCGGGGACGAUAAUGACGGUACCCGAGGAGGAAGCCACGGCUAACUACGUGCCAGCAGCCGCGGUAAAACGUAGGUGGCAAGCGUUGUCCGGAAUUACUGGGUGUAAAGGGAGCGCAGGCGGGUCGGUAAGUUGGGAGUGAAAACUAUGGGCUCAACCCAUAAAUUGCUUUCAAAACUGCUGAUCUUGAGUGGUGUAGAGGUAGGUGGAAUUCCCGGUGUAGCGGUGGAAUGCGUAGAUAUCGGGAGGAACACCAGUGGCGAAGGCGGCCUACUGGGCACUAACUGACGCUGAGGCUCGAAAGCAUGGAUAGCAAACAGG